AGUGAAAUCGAGUAGGUCGGAGCACGUGAAACUUUGACUGAAUAUAGGUGGACCAUCAUCUAAGGCUAAAUACUCCCAACUGACCGAUAGUGAACCAGUACCGUGAGGGAAAGGCGAAAAGAACCCCUGUGAGGGGAGUGAAAUAGAACCUGAAACCGUAUACGUACAAGCAGUAGGAGCAUACUUGUUAUGUGACUGCGUACCUUUUGUAUAAUGGGUCAGCGACUUAUAUUCUGUAGCGAGGUUAACCGAUUAGGGUAGCCGUAGCGAAAGCGAGUCUUAACUGGGCGCUUAGUUGCAGGGUAUAGACCCGAAACCCGGUGAUCUAGCCAUGGGCAGGUUGAAGGUUGAGUAACAUCAACUGGAGGACCGAACCCACUAACGUUGAAAAGUUAGGGGAUGACCUGUGGCUAGGAGUGAAAGGCUAAUCAAACCGGGAGAUAGCUGGUUCUCCCCGAAAUCUAUUUAGGUAGAGCCUCGGACGAAUACUUACGGGGGUAGAGCACUGUUAAGGCUAGGGGGUCAUCCCGACUUACCAACCCUUUGCAAACUCCGAAUACCGUAAAGUACUAUCCGGGAGACACACGGUGGGUGCUAACGUCCAUCGUGAAGA
RNAcentral lists this ribosomal RNA (613 nucleotides) under Pseudoalteromonas sp. MSK9-3. RNAcentral's name for it is "bacterial LSU rRNA". It matches the Rfam family "Bacterial large subunit ribosomal RNA", at positions 401 to 1016 of the family's 2925-position model. The record is from RNAcentral. Lineage: Bacteria; Pseudomonadati; Pseudomonadota; Gammaproteobacteria; Alteromonadales; Pseudoalteromonadaceae.